AGGGUGUAAACGCUGCGGGCUUGGUGUUGGGGGUCCUUUGAGGGCGCCCAGUGCCGGAGAGAAGUUGUUAAGCCUGCUGCUUGGGGAGUACGUCCGCAAGGAUGAAACUUAAAGGAAUUGGCGGGGGAGCACCGCAACGGGAGGAGCGUGCGGUUCAAUUGGAUUCAACGCCGGACAACUCACCAGGAGCGACGGUUACAUGAAGGCCAGGCUGAUGACCUUGCCUGAUUUUCCGAGAGGUGGUGCAUGGCGUGUGACUGU
Molecule: ribosomal RNA, 261 nt
Filed under: uncultured archaeon
Lineage: Archaea
Description: partial 16S ribosomal RNA
Rfam family: Archaeal small subunit ribosomal RNA
Source: RNAcentral